RNAcentral lists this ribosomal RNA (487 nucleotides) under uncultured Actinomycetes bacterium. RNAcentral's name for it is "bacterial SSU rRNA". It matches the Rfam family "Bacterial small subunit ribosomal RNA", at positions 36 to 538 of the family's 1533-position model. Lineage: Bacteria; Bacillati; Actinomycetota; Actinomycetes. The record is from RNAcentral.
CGAACGCUGGCGGCGUGCUUUACACAUGCAAGUCGAGCGAUGAGAUCCCUUCGGGGAAGGAUUAGCGGCGAACGGGUGAGGAACACGUGAGGAAUCUGCCUUCAACACUGGGAUAACUCCGGGAAACCGGGGCUAAUACCGGAUACGAGACCUGCAGGCAUCUGCGGGUCUGGAAAGUUUUUCGGUUGAAGAUGACCUCGCGGCCUAUCAGCUUGUUGGUGAGGUAAUGGCUCACCAAGGCGACGACGGGUAGCCGGCCUGAGAGGGCGACCGGCCACACUGGGACUGAGACACGGCCCAGACUCCUACGGGAGGCAGCAGUGGGGAAUAUUGGGCAAUGGAGGGAACUCUGACCCAGCGACGCCGCGUGCGGGAUGAAGGCCUCGGUGUAACCGCUUUCAGCAGGAAGAAGCGAAAGUGACGGUACUUGCAGAGAAGCACCGGCUAACUAUGUGCCAGCAGCCGCGGUAAGUCUGAUGGCGCGAGG